This 343-nucleotide long non-coding RNA is filed under the name Pan troglodytes (chimpanzee). Its description in RNAcentral is "long non-coding RNA NONPTRT001074". The record is from RNAcentral. Lineage: Eukaryota; Metazoa; Chordata; Mammalia; Primates; Hominidae.
GGCCGUGAGAAGCUCAAGUUCACCAUGAGCCACGCAGUAAGCCAUGCUUUAGCCUCUGACCUGUGCUCCAAUUUUGGUACAAUGAUUUCUGCCAUGUUCUCCAACAGGGUGAGGAAACAGACAGCACUAAGAGAAAAAGCUGGAACUCAAAACCAAAUUAACUCCAAACUUAAGUUUUCCCACUUCGACAAGAAAAGGAACUGCAUGUGUUUUUCUGCCUCUUGCAGAUGUAUGUCAUAAAAGUUGGAUGCCUUCCUUUUAAGACAUUUGAAUGGAUCACCAAAUAAUUACCUACUUUUCUCUCACAACUCAGAUAAAUAAUUAAAAGGAGAUAUACACAGAU